GGCGCGGUGGCAGAAUGGCUUAUGUAGCGGACUGCAAAUCCGCGUAUGCCGGUUCGAUUCCGGCCCGUGCCUCCA
This 75-nucleotide transfer RNA is filed under the name Rickettsiales bacterium. RNAcentral describes it as "tRNA-Cys". It matches the Rfam family "tRNA". From Rfam's summary of the family: Transfer RNA (tRNA) molecules are approximately 80 nucleotides in length. Their secondary structure includes four short double-helical elements and three loops (D, anti-codon, and T loops). Lineage: Bacteria; Pseudomonadati; Pseudomonadota; Alphaproteobacteria; Rickettsiales. The record is from RNAcentral.